This 111-nucleotide ribosomal RNA is filed under the name Candida sojae. RNAcentral describes it as "partial 5.8S ribosomal RNA". It matches the Rfam family "5.8S ribosomal RNA", at positions 47 to 154 of the family's 154-position model. From Rfam's summary of the family: 5.8S ribosomal RNA (5.8S rRNA) is a component of the large subunit of the eukaryotic ribosome. It is transcribed by RNA polymerase I as part of the 45S precursor that also contains 18S and 28S rRNA. Functionally, it is thought that 5.8S rRNA may be involved in ribosome translocation. The record is from RNAcentral. Lineage: Eukaryota; Fungi; Ascomycota; Pichiomycetes; Serinales; Debaryomycetaceae.
AGCGAAAUGCGAUACGUAAUAUGAAUUGCAGAUAUUCGUGAAUCAUCGAAUCUUUGAACGCACAUUGCGCCCUUUGGUAUUCCAAAGGGCAUGCCUGUUUGAGCGUCAUUU